RNAcentral lists this ribosomal RNA (253 nucleotides) under uncultured bacterium. RNAcentral describes it as "partial 16S ribosomal RNA". It matches the Rfam family "Bacterial small subunit ribosomal RNA", at positions 524 to 776 of the family's 1533-position model. The record is from RNAcentral.
UACGGGGGGGGUAAGCGUUGUUCGGAAUUACUGGGCGUAAAGGGCUCGUAGGCGGCCAACUAAGUCAGACGUGAAAUCCCUCAGCUUAACUAGGGAACUGCGUCUGAUACUGGGUGGCUUGAGUGCAGGAGAGGAAUGCGGAAUUCCAGGUGUAGCGGUGAAAUGCGUAGAUAUCUGGAGGAACACCGGUGGCGAAGGCGGCAUUCUGGACUGUAACUGACACUGAGGAACGAAAGCCAGGGGAGCAAACGGG